GUGAGGAAUAUUGGUCAAUGGGCGGGAGCCUGAACCAGCCAAGUCGCGUGAAGGAAGAAGGAUCUAUGGUUCGUAAACUUCUUUUGCAGGGGAAUAAAGUGCAGGACGUGUCCUGUUUUGUAUGUACCCUGAGAAUAAGGAUCGGCUAACUCCGUGCCAGCAGCCGCGGUAAUACGGAGGAUCCGAGCGUUAUCCGGAUUUAUUGGGUUUAAAGGGUGCGUAGGUGGUUUGAUAAGUCAGCGGUGAAAGUGUGCAGCUUAACUGUAAAAAUGCCGUUGAAACUGUCGGACUUGAGUGUAAAUGAGGUAGGCGGAAUGCGUGGUGUAGCGGUGAAAUGCAUAGAUAUCACGCAGAACUCCGAUUGCGAAGGCAGCUUACUAAGCUACAACUGACACUGAAGCACGAAAGCGUGGGGAUCAAACAGGAUUAGAAACCCGAGUAGUCC
Molecule: ribosomal RNA, 445 nt
Filed under: uncultured bacterium
Lineage: Bacteria
Description: partial 16S ribosomal RNA
Rfam family: Bacterial small subunit ribosomal RNA
Source: RNAcentral